AUUGAACGCUGGCGGCAUGCUUUACACAUGCAAGUCGAACGGUAACAGGGAGCUUGCUCCGCUGACGAGUGGCGAACGGGUGAGUAAUAUAUCGGAACGUGCCCAAGAGUGGGGGAUAACGUAGCGAAAGUUACGCUAAUACCGCAUACGAUCCAAGGAUGAAAGCAGGGGACCUUCGGGCCUUGUGCUCCUGGAGCGGCCGAUAUCUGAUUAGCUAGUUGGUGAGGUAAAGGCUCACCAAGGCGACGAUCAGUAGCUGGUCUAAGAGGACGACCAGCCGCACUGGAACUGAGACACGGUCCAGACUCCUACGGGAGGCAGCAGUGGGGAAUUUUGGACAAUGGGGGCAACCCUGAUCCAGCAAUGCCGCGUGAGUGAAGAAGGCCUUCGGGUUGUAAAGCUCUUUUGUCAGGGAAGAAAAGGGUACGGCUAAUAUCCGUGCCUCAUGACGGUACCUGAAAAAUAAGCACCGGCUAACUACGUGCCAGCCGCCGCCGUAA
Molecule: ribosomal RNA, 500 nt
Filed under: uncultured bacterium
Lineage: Bacteria
Description: partial 16S ribosomal RNA
Rfam family: Bacterial small subunit ribosomal RNA
Source: RNAcentral